AAACGCAAGGCGGAGCUCUGCUGCCAGGGGUGCGGCGCAGUUCCGAGUUCCCCGACUAGGUCUCUGCCGCGAGCCCGGCAGGUCCCUCCGACCUAGCCCCAGUUUGGUGAGAGCAUCGCAGAGAGCGGAAAGUGGCCCGUUCUCUUUCCGUGGAUGAGGGGCGCUUUUGGGGAAGGGCAUGGAAGCGAGGAGCGGACGGAUUUUCUGAUCUGUUUGAGAUACGGGCACCGGUCUUUGCCCAGCUACAUUCCCAAUCAGCUCUACACCUAACCUGGGGCUUGAAUUCACAGCUCCGAGAUCAAGAGUCACAUGCUCUACUGACUAAGCCAGCCAUCCACCCCUGUCUGUAUUAUUUUUGCAACUUUUCAGUAAAUCAAAUUGUUUUAAAAUAAAAAGUUUUAAAUGAUAA
Neofelis nebulosa (Clouded leopard) is the source of this 409-nucleotide long non-coding RNA. RefSeq lists it as uncharacterized. The record is from RefSeq and is a predicted model, not a curated record. Lineage: Eukaryota; Metazoa; Chordata; Mammalia; Carnivora; Felidae. The transcript has 3 exons.